Vigna radiata var. radiata (mung bean) is the source of this 479-nucleotide long non-coding RNA. RefSeq lists it as uncharacterized. The record is from RefSeq and is a predicted model, not a curated record. NCBI's taxonomy places the organism in Eukaryota, Viridiplantae, Streptophyta, Magnoliopsida, Fabales, Fabaceae. The transcript has 2 exons.
GACUUUGGAGAGGGCCUUUCAGAAAUCAGACUUUCAUUUUCCAGAUUUCCUAUCUCUCUCUAAAACUCUUUUCUUUUUCCCUAAAAAUUUGUUCUGCCUUCUCUCUAUGAUUUCCAAACACUGAACCGUUUAAUUUUUAGUUUGAAGGUGCCUAAAUGUUCACAGCGGCAAGGGCUUCAUUUUGAACCGAACAAUUUCUUGUUCCGACUGAUGGCGUGGAGGAUACCUUGGAAACAACUCUUAAUGGAGAUGGAAAUGUCGCUGCCUAGUUCAUUAGACUUUACUUUUCUUAGUCUUAGAUAUUUUGAAGAACUUUAUUUGUUAUGUUUAAAGUUUUAAAUUCCUAUCCUUUUUAGGAGAACUCUAUUUCUCCAAGUUCCUAAAUUCCUGUACUGCUUAAGGAUGACUGUAAUCCUAAUUGUCUCUAAUAUACUCUAACUGCUUUCAAUUAUUAUAUAUGAUGACAUCUUGAUUAUGUA